This is a long non-coding RNA of Nicotiana attenuata, 628 nucleotides long. RefSeq lists it as uncharacterized. NCBI's taxonomy places the organism in Eukaryota, Viridiplantae, Streptophyta, Magnoliopsida, Solanales, Solanaceae. The transcript has 3 exons. The record is from RefSeq and is a predicted model, not a curated record.
AAUUAAAAUCCCUAAAUCACUACCCUCUAAACCUAAAUCUGCAUAUUCCUCCCAAAGUCUAUGAAUAUGUAUAUUGAAACCAGAGGUACAUUUUCUACUCUUCCACUCUUCAUCUCUGUCAAUGUAGGUUUACAACCCAUUUGUGCAGGUUUGGGGAGAAAAUUAAACUAAGAAUGGACUACUACCUCACCAAAAGUUUUGUGGCCAAACACUUCACGUUGCUAUUUACCUUUUGAAGUGUGGAUGAUCACACUUGAUGAAUUGGGUUUUGGAGAUUGAAGUUUAUAAUGAGAUUAGUGUCUGAUAGAAAAAGAUAGCAUCGGUUUGAUUACGCCAUAUUAUACACUUUAACCGCCGUUUUCCAAAUAAAUAAAUAAUGGCUGUUGAACUAACGCCAUAAUGUUUUGCUUAUUACAGCGGUUCAAAUGAGCUGCCAUUUUAAAACCGCCGUUAAUUUUUCGUUUAUUUGUAGUGCAAGUAAAAAAGCUUAUUUGGUGGGCAUACAAGUUGACUAUUAUUUUGCUAGAAAUAUUGGAUAAACUUUGUAUAAUGUCUAGGGAUGUUAGUUAGGUUUUUUGUGUGAGUUCUGUCAACAACAUCGUGAUUGCUUAAUUGAAGUGUACCUGUA